This 253-nucleotide ribosomal RNA is filed under the name uncultured bacterium. RNAcentral's name for it is "partial 16S ribosomal RNA". It matches the Rfam family "Bacterial small subunit ribosomal RNA", at positions 524 to 776 of the family's 1533-position model. The record is from RNAcentral.
UACAGAGGGUGCGAGCGUUAAUCGGAAUUACUGGGCGUAAAGCGUACGUAGGUGGUUGGAUAAGUCAGGUGUGAAAUCCCCAAGCUUAACUUGGGAAUUGCGUUUGAUACUGUCUGACUUGAGUUUGGUAGAGGGAGGUGAAAUUCCAGGUGUAGCGGUGAAACGCGUAGAGAUCUGGAGGAACACCAGUGGCGAAGGCGGCCUCCUGGACUGAAACUGACACUGAGGUACGAAAGCGUGGGGAGCAAACAGG